GCUGCGUAAAUGCUAUUUAGCCCAAGAGAGCUAGUAUCAUCCCUGCGUUGGCGAGAAUCUCAUAAUAGAAUGAUAUGGUAAAGUGGAUUGUAAUCCCUUGAAAAUAUGAAAAAUAUUUAAGAGAGAAAUCCAAUAGCUAUAUCGCAAUGGUUAGCCGUAUGACCGCAGGAGAGUUACCUGAAACAUGAUGAAAAAUUGUAGAAUUCAUUAGAAUUCACAUUAUUUUUUACGGUUGA
Molecule: non-coding RNA, 236 nt
Submitted as: unclassified sequences
Source: Rfam